CACAAAAUUGCAUAUAAUUAAGAUACUAUCAUCUGAUGUGAUUGAAAGAAUAAAUAGAAGACUAUUCUGAGUUAACUAUGUAUUUAUGAGAAAGAACACUGCUCUGACAUUUAAAUCAGUCUGAGACCCAGCUGUGAGCAGAAUUCGAGCAGAGUAUGAAAUGUGACCUAGGAAGUGACAUUUAUUUGCAGAAUAUGAGAUGGAGCAAGAAGAAAUUUAGGCCUGAAAAGAAUGACCAACUGUGGACUGAACAAUUGCUGAGAGUCAAGUGGCUUGGGAAGCGGACUCUGCAAUGGAGAUUUGCCUGCACCAUAGUGGAAAGAGGAUUGGCAGAGGGAUAGGAAGCUGCAACACAGUCACAAGAAAGGCCUCAGCCAUUCCACAGGGGUGCUGGAGCUGGAUGCUUGCCCAUUUAGGGUGUCCCAAUUGGGGUGAGGGGCCUAGGCCUUUAUCCCCUCCCCCCCCCACUGCCCUGUCACUGGAAGCAGACUGCCUCCGGGAAAGUGGUGUGACCCUGGCUAUGGCAACUUUUUUCACAGAAGAUUAACAACCUGGAGGGGAAACACAGAACUAAGUUCCUAGCUGUCAACACUCCAGAUUGCUGGAGCCAUGGAUCUCAGUCCUGGAGAGGAGUGGGAAGGAUCUGAGGGGCAUGGCCCAGGAUCAUUGCACAAGGACACAAACACUCUUUAAAUCCAGAUGGAUGUGUAGAUACAAGGGCAGAACCUGCAGCAAGAGUUCGGUGUACACAGAUCUACCAGAAACAGGUCCUGUCUAUCACAUAUUUGUCAGCUUCAGCGAAUUUGAGAUCUAGACUUCUGUUAAUGGUAAUCAAUGAUACAAGCAGAAUAUUGCUUUAAACGCUUGUUUACAAAGUGCUGGAACCUGAAUUUGCUAUGUUUCUUAUAAAUUAAUUUAUUUAUGGCAAGGGGGGAAAGAUGUGAAUAGAAAAAUCACAGAUGAGAACAUUUUUUUAAUACUCAGAGGAAUGUGCAGGUAGGAAACUGGUGCCGGGAGAGUAGAAUAAUUACAAUCUUCCUGUCAAUUGGCUUAAGGGGUAAAACAUCAUCUUCCUGCUUUAUGAGUAAACAAAAUUUGAACAUUUAAGGCCUCAUCAGAGAGAUCUGUCACUGAGAAACAUUCAUUUCUUUGCUGCCUACAGGGCAAUCUGUCGCCAUUGAGGGCCAUUGACUAUUAAAUGCUUAGAUGAAUAAGUGCUUAUGACGUCUGCAAUUUCUAGUUAGAAAAUGAGACAAAGAUUAAAACAACAUUUUGAGACAAGGCUUUUUAUGGUUUCUGUUUAUAAAUCUUUAGGUAGCUCUGUUGAAAUUAAAUACUGCAUCAAUGCUUAAACUUCUGACCAUUCUUUCUCAUUUUGUUACAUUUUGAAGAGGAGAAUACAUUUUAAUAUGUUGUAAUGUGUCUACACAGACAAAAUAAACUACAGGUUGAGUAUUUAGUGAACACUGACCAAUGUGUAACUCAGAAAUUCACCAAGUUUAUCGUCUUCUGACCUCUUCUGACUGUUAAAAAUCAUUUAAGACACCAAAUAGCUUUUGUUGAUGUGGGUUUUAUCUAUCAUUACUUACUGUUUUAGAAAAGGAAAUAGAUAUUUUCAAAAUAUUUAUAACUUAUUGAAAAAUAAUUAUAAAAGUAUUAUUGUUUACCAUUGAAAGCAUAUUUUUAAAGAAAAAUAAGCACAUUUUCAAAAACAAAAGUAUGUAUAAUGAGUACAGUGGCAUUGAUUCACAUUUUGCAAAAUUUUUUAAUGUGUGGCGUAGAAGUCAGCUGGAUUCUCACAUGAGCCUCACAUUCCAUCAUUUGCCAUAUGGUGCUUUGGUUGAAACAUAUGAGGAAAACUUAGCCCCAUACAGAUAUAUAUUGGAAAAGGAACAUUUUGUAAUUAAAUUUUUUAUUUUGAAGUCAUUGUAGAUGCACAUGCAGAUGUUAGAAAUAGUAGGGGAGAUCUUGUGUACCCUUUACCCAGUUUUCCCCAACAGUAACAUUUUUCAAAGCUGUAGGACACUUUCACAGGCAACAUAUUGACUCUAAUGCAGUCAAGAUCCAGACAUUGCCAUCACCCCAAACAUCCCCCCGUUGCCCUUUUACAGUCGCAUCCACUUUCCUCAUUAACUGCUAGGACAAUUAAUUCUCUUCUCCCUUUUUACAAUUGUCAUUUUAAGAAUAAGAUAUAAAUGGAAUGUGAGAUUGGCUAUUUUCACUCAGCAUAAUCCUCUGGAGAUUCAUCCAGACUGUUGUGAGUAUCAAUAAGUUUUUUCCUUUUAUUUGUGACUAUUACAUAUGGUAAAGAUUACCAUAAUUUGCUUUGAAGGACAUUUGGAUUGUUUCCAGUUUUUGGCUAUUAUGAACAAAACUGCUAGAAAUGGUAGAGUACAGGUAUUAGUGUCAACAAAACUUUUCCUUUCUCUCAGAUUAAGUCAUAUGGUAGAUAUACGUUUGGUUUUUUAGAAACUGCCAAACUAUUUUCUAGAGUGCCAUUUUACAUUCUCAGUGGUCAUAUGUGAGUAACCCACUUUUUGUUAAUCCUCAUUGGCAUUUCUUAUUGCCACUAUUUUUUUAUUUUAGCCAUGCUGGAGGGUUGUAGGAAUAUCUCAAUGUGGUUUUAAUUUGUAUUUCCCUAAUCGCUAAUGAUGUUGACAUCAUUUCUCAUGCUUAUACGCAAUUUCUAUAUCCUUUCAUUGAAAUGUCUCUUCAUGUAUUUUGCCUAUUUUCCAAUCAAAUUGUUUUAUCUUUUACUGUUGAGUUUAGGGAGUUCUUUAUAUAUUCUAGAUACCAGUCCUCUGUUGGAUAUGUGAUAUGCAAAUAUUUUGUUUCAUUCUGUAAUUGUCUUUUAUACUCUAAACAUGGUUUUUGACAGAGCAAAAAGUUUUCAUUUUGAUGAAAUCUAACUUCUCAAUUUUCUUUUUAUGGAUCACACUUUGGUGUUAAGUCUAAGAACUGUUAUUUAGAACAAGACUUUCUUAUCUUGAAGACUUUCUUCAAAAUUUUUGGCUAAUAGUGUUAUAGUUUUAUAUCUUAUGUUUAAGCCUGUGAUCCAUUGUGAGUUAAUUAUUUAUAAUAAUCUUGUAUAUUAAUUUUUGUAUAAUUUCAUAUGUGAUUUAGAUCGAGGUUCUUUUUUUUUGUCUGUGGAUGUCCAAAGACUCCAGCACCAUUUGUUGAAAAAGUUAACUUGUCCCCAUUGAAUUGCUGUUGCAUCUUUAUCAGACUUGGUUCUGUAUAUUUCUUGGGUCUAUUCCUGUGUACUCACUUCUGUUUCAUUGAUCUGUAUAUCUUUCCGUCAACCAAUAGCACAUUGUCUUGAUUACUAUAGCUAGAUAAUAUAUCUUCAACUUGGGUAGACUGACUCUUCCCAUUUUAUUCUACUUUUUUCAAAAUUGUUUUAGCUAUUCUAGUUCCUUCUUCUUUCAAUAUAAAUUUCAUAAUAAACUUGUCUCCACUUACCAAAAUUAUUGCUGAUAUUUGGAUAGGAAUUGCGUUAAACUUGUGUAUCAAUUAUUGGUGAAUUAACAACUUUGCUACAUAAAUCUUCCAAUACAUGAUCGUAGGAUGUUUAUCCAUUUAUUUAGCUAUUUUGUUAUUUAUUUCAUCAAUGUUUUGUAGUUUCCAGCAUAUAACUCAAGUACAAGUUUUGUUAGAUUUACACAAAUUACAUUUUACCCCAUUGUAAAUUAUAUUAAAUUUUUAAUCUCAAGAAUCUAUUCACUGCUACUCUCUAGAAAUGUUGUUGAUCUUGUAUCCUGUGAUCUUGCUGAACUCAAUUAUUAGUUUUGGGAGUUAUUUUGUAGAUUCCUUAGUAUUUCCUAUGUAUACAAUAAUGUCACUGGCACAGAGGGGCGAUUUUAUUUCUUCCUUUCCAAACUGUAUGACUGUUUUUCUUGUCUUAUUGCUCUAGCUAACCUCUGCUCUUGACUUCACUAGGCCCUCUCUGGCACCAGUUCAGUGGGGAGAUUGAGAGGCAUCUCAUCACCACCUGGCAAGGGUGAAAGUCUGUUCUUCCGCCGAGCCUCUGUUAUCUGGGUGAGGGUGGGGCCACAGUUUUGUCUGAGUGUUUGUCUAGAGUAGAGCUAUUUUUAUUUAAAAGUUUUAUCUUGCUAGGCUGCCCUUUUCCCUGACCGUUGGCUAGAAAGAGCAGGCUUUCAGGGGCUUUUGAGUCUCUGCUAGUUGCCAGCACCCAGAGGGAGAAAGAACAUCCAGGGACUACCCUUGUGCCAUUCCUUGGGUUCCAAGGUCUCUGAUCAGUCUCAAACUUUCAGAAUAUUCUUAGGCUUGUUUUAGAUAGACUCCAGGGUUUUUAUGAGUACUUAGCAAGAAAGAGUAGGGAAAAGUAUGUCUAUCUCAUCUUCCCAGAAAUGGAAGUCUCAAAGUCAAGGGUAUUUUGAAGAUAUUGUCCUAAAAAUAUAUAUAUUUUAAAUUUUCUUAUUAUUUUUUAUCAAAGAUGAGACCAAAUUAAAAUAAAUAAUCUAUUUGGCAAAUACCUUGAUGAUAUUAUCUUGCGUGAGUUAAUGACAAUGAUGAACGUUCUUUAUCAUCAAUACUAUUAUAAUAUAUUUUAAGACCAAAACAUGUAAGUAAGUGCUUACCUAAAGACUAAAAAUCGACAAAAUGUAUUUUUUCCUAAAUAUUGUUUUUUGCACCAUUAGAUAUGAAAAUGUUUGAUAAUUCAAAUUUAUCCAACAGAUUCACAUAUGAUUUUUAUAGAUAAAGCCAGUCAGACAUAAAAACAUAUAAUAAUCAAAAUAGGACUUGGUUAUUUGAGAGUUUGUGUAAAUCAAUAAUAGACUUCUAGGUCAGUCUUUUAGGUAUAUCUUAAUUCUUACUCAGCAAUGCCAUUGAAUGCCUUAUAAUAUAAACCUGAUGUUAUCAUGAAGCUACAUCACUUUAAAAAAAUUGCAAUAUUUGCAAAUGUUAUAACUUAUUCAACACAUAUCUUUUAAUAAAAUUAUGAUUUGAAUGUGUGUGAAAAGAUAAGAAAAUGCUUCUGGAUGAAAAACGGCAAAUUCAUGUCAGGGAAGAGAUCAAUCUUGAACCAAAUUCUCUGAAGAAUUAACAUAAGCAGAGAUGCAGUAGGUUAUAUUAAUAUGACUGGAAUUUGAAUUUUGAAUUCUGACUCAUAUCCUUCUGAUAGGACCUUUAGUUUUAUUCUGAAGUAACCUACUAGUAUGUAUUUUAUUAUCCCAAAUCUUUGAGUUCUGAGUCCUACGUUUUACUUCUUAUCCACAUUACAAAUGACAAAACAAAUUUCUUCCUGGAAUUUUCUUCUUGGCCAGGUUUACCGAAGAAAGAAGAGGAAUGAUAUAAUAAUCAACAGAAGUUACUGUUCCUACAAUGUAAUUAUAAAAGUCUCUGUAUUUAUGUCCACAUAAAGAAGGAAAUCUUAUAAAUGUGCCCUAAGGUAGCUUUAAAAUAAGGAAUAUUUUAUAGUUUUCAGUGUGUAAGUUUUUCAAUUCUUUUGUUAAGUUUACUCCUACAUAUUUUAUUCUUUUUGUUGAAAUU
Long non-coding RNA from Equus caballus (horse), 5514 nucleotides. Lineage: Eukaryota; Metazoa; Chordata; Mammalia; Perissodactyla; Equidae. The record is from Ensembl.